GACGAACGCUGGCGGCGUGCUUAACACAUGCAAGUCGAACGAGGCCCCUCCUUCGGGAGGGUGUCCUAGUGGCGAACGGGUGAGUAACACGUGGGCAACCUGCCCCCGGCUCUGGGAUAACCCCAAGAAAUUGGGGCUAAUACCGGAUAUGACCGCUGACCGCAUGGUCGGUGGUGGAAAGUUUUUUCGGCUGGGGAUGGGCCCGCGGCCUAUCAGCUUGUUGGUGGGGUAGUGGCCUACCAAGGCGACGACGGGUAGCCGGCCUGAGAGGGUGACCGGCCACACUGGGACUGGGACACGGCCCAGACUCCUACGGGAGGCAGCAGUGGGGAAUAUUGCGCAAUGGGCGGAAGCCGGACGCAGCGACGCCGCGUGGGGGAUGACGGCCUUCGGGUUGUAAACCUCUUUCAGCAGGGACGAAGCGAAAGUGACGGUACCUGCAGAAGAAGCACCGGCCAACUACGUGCCAGCCGCCGCAGUAA
RNAcentral lists this ribosomal RNA (482 nucleotides) under uncultured bacterium. RNAcentral describes it as "partial 16S ribosomal RNA". It matches the Rfam family "Bacterial small subunit ribosomal RNA", at positions 28 to 523 of the family's 1533-position model. The record is from RNAcentral.